GACGAACGCUGGCGGCGUGCUUAACACAUGCAAGUCGAACGGUAAGGCCCUUCGGGUACGACGAGUGGCGAACGGGUGGAGUAACACGUGGGUGAUCUGCCCUGCACUUUGGGAUAAGCCUGGGAAACUGGGUCUAAUACCGAAUAUGACCAUGGACUUCACGGUUUGUGGUGGAAAGCUUUUGCGGUGUGGGAUGGGCCCGCGGCCUAUCAGCUUGUUGGUGGGGUAAUGGCCUACCAAGGCGACGACGGGUAGCCGGCCUGAGAGGGUGACCGGCCACACUGGGACUGAGAUACGGCCCAGACUCCUACGGGAGGCAGCAGUGGGGAAUAUUGCACAAUGGGCGCAAGCCUGAUGCAGCGACGCCGCGU
This 371-nucleotide ribosomal RNA is filed under the name uncultured bacterium. Its description in RNAcentral is "bacterial SSU rRNA". It matches the Rfam family "Bacterial small subunit ribosomal RNA", at positions 28 to 402 of the family's 1533-position model. The record is from RNAcentral.